CAGGGAGACAACAAAAUGUUUAAUAUUAUUAUUUUGUCACCUUAGGUCGAUCGGUAUCUCACGUUCUUAUUUUGUUAAGAAUUUCAAUUCCUAAGUUUUUCUAGGUCACACCCAUUAUUUUCCUGGGCCAUUAGCUCAGGUGGUUAGAGCGCACCCCUGAUAAGGGUGAGGUCCCUGGUUCAAGUCCAGGAUGGCCCAUAUCUCUAUGUUGGGGGUAUAGCUCAGUUGGUAGAGCGCCUGCUUUGCAAGCAGGAUGUCAGCGGUUCGAGUCCGCUUACCUCCACUGAUUACCACCUCUUCCAUAACCGGUAGAAAGGAAAUGUUUUGAGUUGUGAUCAUUAUUCUGAACGAAUCUAGCUUCCUAAUGAAAUCAUUAAGAUGCUGGACUCAUUGAAUUAAUUUCAUUGUUUUCAGAGAACCUUGACAACUGCAUAGAUUAUUUUUAAAGACAAUAAGCAUCUUUAAUGAUGCAGAUUUAUUAUUUGUGCGAAUGCAUUAAUAACAAUUCUAUUAAGCUGAUGCUUCAAUUUUUGGAGUUAUU
RNAcentral lists this transfer RNA (541 nucleotides) under uncultured cyanobacterium. Its description in RNAcentral is "partial miscellaneous RNA". The stretch from base 211 to 283 matches the Rfam family "tRNA". Lineage: Bacteria; Bacillati; Cyanobacteriota. The record is from RNAcentral.